GUCUUUGUAGUAUAUAUAAAUACACUGGUCUUGUAAACCAGCAAAGGAGCUAACCCUCCCCAAGACU
RNAcentral lists this transfer RNA (67 nucleotides) under Manis pentadactyla (Chinese pangolin). RNAcentral's name for it is "tRNA-Thr". The record is from RNAcentral. Lineage: Eukaryota; Metazoa; Chordata; Mammalia; Pholidota; Manidae.